This 317-nucleotide ribosomal RNA is filed under the name uncultured Paludibacter sp. RNAcentral describes it as "partial 16S ribosomal RNA". The record is from RNAcentral. Lineage: Bacteria; Pseudomonadati; Bacteroidota; Bacteroidia; Bacteroidales; Paludibacteraceae.
GGAGUUUGGACCGUGUCUCAGUUCCAAUGUGGGGGACCUUCCUCUCAGAACCCCUACUGAUCGUCGACUUGGUGAGCCGUUACCCCACCAACUAUCUAAUCAGAAGCGUGCUCACCCAUAGUCCUUACGUUUCAAGCAAGUGUCAUGCGGCACUCGCUCACAUGGAGCAUUAAUCCAACUUUCGCUGGGCUAUUCCCCGACUAUGGACAGAUUGCACACCUGUUACGCACCCGUGCGCCGGUCGCCAUCAUUGUGUGCAAGCAAACUUCAUGCUGCCCCUCGACUUGCAUGUGUUAAGCCUGUAGCUAGCGUUCAUC